GCCUGGGUGGCUCAGUCGGUUGAGUGUCCGACUUUGGCUCAGGGCAUGAUCUCGCAGUUUGUGGGUUCAAGCCCCACGCUGGGCU
RNAcentral lists this transfer RNA (85 nucleotides) under Felis catus (domestic cat). It matches the Rfam family "tRNA". Rfam says of the family: Transfer RNA (tRNA) molecules are approximately 80 nucleotides in length. Their secondary structure includes four short double-helical elements and three loops (D, anti-codon, and T loops). The record is from Rfam by way of RNAcentral. Lineage: Eukaryota; Metazoa; Chordata; Mammalia; Carnivora; Felidae.